Molecule: ribosomal RNA, 252 nt
Filed under: uncultured bacterium
Lineage: Bacteria
Description: partial 16S ribosomal RNA
Rfam family: Bacterial small subunit ribosomal RNA
Source: RNAcentral
ACGUACUGUGCGAACGUUAUUCGGAAUCACUGGGCUUAAAGGGUACGUAGGCGGUUUGGCAAGUCAGGUGUGAAAUGCCACAGCUCAACUGUGGCACUGCGCUUGAAACUGCCAGGCUAGAGUAUUCCAGGGGUGUGCGGAACUGCCAGUGGAGCGGUGAAAUGCGUUGAUAUUGGCAGGAACACCGGAGGCGAAGGCGGCACACUGGGGGAUAACUGACGCUGAGGUACGAAAGCCAGGGUAGCGAACGGG